Acanthosepion pharaonis is the source of this 99-nucleotide non-coding RNA. Lineage: Eukaryota; Metazoa; Mollusca; Cephalopoda; Sepiida; Sepiidae. The record is from the annotation of a GenBank genome assembly.
AUUAAAACACCGGUUCUCAUAUGAUCACUGAAGUUAAGCAACGUCAGGUCUGGUCAGUGCCUAAACGGGUGAUCGCUUGGGAAUAACAGCUGCUGUAAG